CCUACGGGAGGCAGCAGUAGGGAAUCUUCCACAAUGGACGAAAGUCUGAUGGAGCAACGCCGCGUGAGUGAUGAAGGUUUUCGGAUCGUAAAACUCUGUUGUAAGGGAAGAACAAGUACGAGAGGGAAUGCUCGUACCUUGACGGUACCUUGCGAGAAAGCCACGGCUAACUACGUGCCAGCAGCCGCGGUAAUACGUAGGUGGCAAGCGUUGUCCGGAAUUAUUGGGCGUAAAGCGCGCGCAGGCGGCCUUUUAAGUCUGAUGUGAAAGCCCCCGGCUCAACCGGGGAGGGUCAUUGGAAACUGGAAGGCUUGAGUACAGAAGAGAAGAGUGGAAUUCCAUGUGUAGCGGUGAAAUGCGUAGAGAUGUGGAGGAACACCAGUGGCGAAGGCGACUCUUUGGUCUGUAACUGACGCUGAGGCGCGAAAGCGUGGGGAGCAAACAGGAUUAGAUACCCUGGUAGUCCACGCCGUAAACGAUGAGUGCUAGGUGUUGGGGGGUUUCCGCCCUCAGUGCUGAAGCUAACGCAUUAAGCACUCCGCCUGGGGAGUACGGCCGCAAAGGGCUUGAAACGUUAAAGUUAAAGUUAGUACGGCGUUGAGACGNGCCGACGGACGACGACGAGGGGAGGAGG
This 634-nucleotide ribosomal RNA is filed under the name uncultured bacterium. RNAcentral describes it as "bacterial SSU rRNA". It matches the Rfam family "Bacterial small subunit ribosomal RNA", at positions 338 to 1533 of the family's 1533-position model. The record is from RNAcentral.